RNAcentral lists this small nucleolar RNA (51 nucleotides) under Nannospalax galili (Upper Galilee mountains blind mole rat). Its description in RNAcentral is "Small nucleolar RNA SNORD103/SNORD85 (ENSNGAG00000002097.1)". The record is from RNAcentral. Lineage: Eukaryota; Metazoa; Chordata; Mammalia; Rodentia; Spalacidae.
CAUACUUGCCCUCACUUAGACCACAGUUCAUUGCUGAGAGCGUUGUUCUGA